CAAGAUGUCACCUAUUUUUAUUUCUAAACUACAAUAAUGUUCUUUGGUUCCUUUUAGUGAUAUAUUUUAAAAGGCCUUCAAAAGGAUUGGCAAUUAUAAAGAAUACAGUUGCAGUAUAGGCAAAAGAUAUAUUUCUACCCAGAAGAACUGGGGUACAGAUAAAUUGACUGAUAAAAAGAGAAGGCAUUGUGAAAUGGUGAUAGAUACCAGAAAGGAUAGAAGAUAAUGCUCUGUUGUCUUCUUUUGUCAGAUAAAAUGUGAGAGCAUAUCAGUAUAAACAGAAGCAAGUGAAAGUUUUCUCUCAUGCUGGGUACUUCAUUCCAUUGGCCACUUUAUUUUUUCUUCUUAUCUUAAUAGUCUUAUUUUAAAUGAUGUAUUCUUGUUGUGUCAUAAAGUUUGGAGGCAUGCCAAUGUAGACAAGACAAUAAAAUAAUAUUUGAACAAAGUUAUGUUGAAAGAAUACCCAUGAUUUGAUGGAGGAGAAAAUUUUAUUGCUAAUCAUACAAUUCUAACUCUGGUUAAAUUUAAUGCAAACAAUGAAUUCUAAAGCCUAAGUAUGUUGCUCCUGGUUUGGCCCCUUCAACAACCAAGGUAGCUCUGUCCGUGAUAAUUUUAAAUGUGCAUGUAUGAUAACUUCUCAUAAUGCAAUUUUAUUGAACAAAUUUAUAAAUGUGUUG
RNAcentral lists this unclassified non-coding RNA (677 nucleotides) under Hevea brasiliensis (rubber tree). The record is from RNAcentral. Lineage: Eukaryota; Viridiplantae; Streptophyta; Magnoliopsida; Malpighiales; Euphorbiaceae.